RNAcentral lists this ribosomal RNA (255 nucleotides) under uncultured bacterium. RNAcentral describes it as "partial 16S ribosomal RNA". It matches the Rfam family "Bacterial small subunit ribosomal RNA", at positions 99 to 354 of the family's 1533-position model. The record is from RNAcentral.
CGGACGGGUGAGUAACGCGUGGAAAACCUGCCGUAUACUGGGGGAUAACACUUAGAAAUAGGUGCUAAUACCGCAUAAGCGCACAGCUUCGCAUGAAGCGGUGUGAAAAACUCUGGUGGUAUACGAUGGUUCCGCGUCUGAUUAGCUAGUUGGCGGGGUAAUGGCCUACCAAGGCAACGAUCAGUAGCCGGCCUGAGAGGGUGAACGGCCACAUUGGGACUGAGACACGGCCCAAACUCCUACGGAAGGCAGCAG